UCGAGUGAAUCGUGGUUAAGGAAUUCGGCAAAAUACCCCCGUAACUUCGGGAGAAGGGGGGCCCAGAGGGUGACGGGACUUGCUCCCCGAGCCUGAACGGCCGCAGAGACCAGGGAGAAGCGACUGUUUACUAAAAACACAGGUCCGUGCCAAGUCGCAAGACGAUGUAUACGGACUGACGCCUGCCCGGUGCUGGAACGUUAAGGGGACCGGUUAGCCUCACGGCGAAGCUGAGAACUUAAGCGCCAGUAAACGGCGGUGGUAACUAUAACCAUCCUAAGGUAGCGAAAUUCCUUGUCGGGUAAGUUCCGACCUGCACGAAUGGCGUAACGAUUUCUCCACUCUCUCAACCACGAACUCGGCGAAAUUGCACUACGAGUAAAGAUGCUCGUUACGCGCAGAAGGACGGAAAGACCCCGGGACCUUUACUACAGCUUGGUAUUGGUGUUCGGUACGGCUUGUGUAGGAUAGGUGGGAGACUGUGAAGCUGACACGCCAGUGUCGGUGGAGUCAACGUUGAAAUACCACUCUGGUCGUUCUGGAUAUCUAACCUAGGUCCGUGAUCCGAAUCAGGGACAGUGCCUGGUGGGUAGUUUAACUGGGGCGGUUGCCUCCUAAAAGGUAACGGAGGCGCCCAAAGGUUCCCUCAGCCUGGUUGGCAAUCAGGUUUUGAGUGUAAGUGCACAAGGGAGCUUGACUGUGAGACUGACAAGUCGAACAGGGACGAAAGUCGGGACUAGUGAUCCGGCGGUGGCUUGUGGAAGCGCCGUCGCUCAACGGAUAAAAGGUACCCCGGGGAUAACAGGCUGAUCUUGCCCAAGAGUCCAUAUCGACGGCAUGGUUUGGCACCUCGAUGUCGGCUCGUCGCAUCCUGGGGCUGGAGUAGGUCCCAAGGGUUGGGCUGUUCGCCCAUUAAAGCGGUACGCGAGCUGGGUUUAGAACGUCGUGAGACAGUUCGGUCCCUAUCCUCUGCGCGCGCAGGAAACUUGAGAAGGGCUGUCCCUAGUACGAGAGGACCGGGAUGGACGAACCUCUGGUGUGUCAGUUGUUCUGCCAAGAGCACCGCUGAUUAGCUACGUUCGGGAGUGAUAACCGCUGAAAGCAUCUAAGCGGGAAGCAUGCUUCAAGAUGAGGUUUCCAUGGGGUUGACCCCGAGAGGCUCCCAGCUAGACUACUGGGUUGAUAGGCCGGAUGUGGAAGUGCGGUAACGCAUGGAGCUGACCGGUACUAAUAAGCCGAUAACUUGACU
RNAcentral lists this ribosomal RNA (1249 nucleotides) under metagenome. RNAcentral describes it as "bacterial LSU rRNA". It matches the Rfam family "Bacterial large subunit ribosomal RNA", at positions 1689 to 2925 of the family's 2925-position model. The record is from RNAcentral.